UCUCUUCUACUCCAUUUCAGUUUCUGUUGCUAAGGAGACAAAACUGAAAAAUAUCUCCUGACUGGGUACGAGACAAAAAAGAAAAUGUCUCGUGUCUGGUUAUGAGACAAAACGCAGAAAAAUCUCCUGAAGCUAAUUUAAAAGGCAGCAAGUAUUACUCAGCAAAAAUGGGCUAAGAUUCAACCCCCCUCUCUUAGCCACUGAUAGACCAUCAUCUUAUAUCCGCAAUCUAUUUUGAAUUUGUUAAGUUUUAUGUGUUUUUAUGUGUUUACUAAUCUUAAGUUUUUAAUUGAUAGAUUUGCACCAAACAAUAAUGCAUGUACACAGGAGAUCUCCAAUGUGAUUAAGUCCAUAUACGACCACCCAUGGCCGAGCUACACAAAACAACAAUGCAUGUACACUGGUGACCUCGCGAUUUAGCUCCGCUCAGAUAUUACGAAGGAACUGGAUGUCUAUUUUAGUACUAAUGAGGGGUUCAAAUGUCGUCGUCUGAUAAACAGAACUAACAGGGCUUCGCCGAGGUCGUCGAAGUAUAUUGGUGGGUCGGCGACUUUCAUGAAGACGAAGAGCAGGCUUUUAUCCUAAGUCGUUGGAGCGUGAGGCGAUAUUGACGGAGACCUUCAAAUAUACCCAUAUGUUGAAGGCCAACAAAGAGAGAUUUGUUUAUGAGUAGUCUGUGGCUCAUUAUGAGGACUAUACGUAGAGAUUGGAGGUUGCGACCCAGCAAUCUCAACCUAGUAGGGAAGGCCCCGGCUCCGAUGCCUCAGUCGUUGAUGUUGUUAGGGUUUGGCGCGAGACCGCCUCUGAGCCCUACAAGAAUCGCGUCUACGGGUUAGGGUCGUUCUUCGUCAGCGGCCUCCACACCUCUGCAUUGGCGGCUUCAUCUGUCUUUGCCUCUGCCACCAACCUUGUCGAUCCCAAGAAGGAUGUCAAUUUAAGGGAGGAGAUGUAGAAGCUAACACAGGAGCUUCACCAACAUGCUCAGCAGUUUGAGCGGAGGUAUGAUGAGCUUCUUCCACGCGUGGGAGACAUUGUUGCCAUCAGGUCGGAGCUGACGAAGAAGCUAGAGCGGCUAGAGCAUUUGUAAGACCAGAUGGCGGGGUACAAUGACCAGAUGUGCGCUAGAGGGAAUGGCGCUGCUGGUACCAGCGACGACGCUACUUGUAGGGAACCGACAUCAGCACCUAGUCCAUCGCCUCAGUAGGGGGAAGGCAAUGAUGACGACGAUUACCGGAAUCCAUAGGGUUUAGGGAUUUAAUUUAUUUUGUCUAUUUCAUUGUAUUUUACUUCUUUGACUUUUUAUUAUAUGCAAA
Arachis ipaensis is the source of this 1313-nucleotide non-coding RNA. NCBI's taxonomy places the organism in Eukaryota, Viridiplantae, Streptophyta, Magnoliopsida, Fabales, Fabaceae. The record is from RefSeq and is a predicted model, not a curated record.